This is a long non-coding RNA of Eurytemora carolleeae, 614 nucleotides long. RefSeq lists it as uncharacterized. The record is from RefSeq and is a predicted model, not a curated record. The transcript is spliced from 2 exons. Lineage: Eukaryota; Metazoa; Arthropoda; Copepoda; Calanoida; Temoridae.
AUAUUAUAGGUAUAAAUCGAUCUCUGUAACUCUGUUAUCUCUGAAGCAGACUGUAAAGCUGAAAACUUUACAACCCCUUGUACACCAUGAACUCGUCAUUUGAAAAGGUCAUUGAAUACGUUUUACUUCUCGGGGUGCAAAUCUGUAGAGUAUUUUUUUUUACUUAUUAAUUUUAAAGAAGUUUAAUAAAAACUAGGCUUUUCCCAUUAACUAUUUUAGCUUUAAACCCUAAACAGGCUUGGCCGGCCCUAUAGUUUUUUUAGUCCUAGCACUUCCAUUUUUGUCAAUUAUUACCGUGAAAUUUUGUGACUUUUAAUGAAUAGUUAAUCUAAAGGAUUUGUUUGUCAAUUUUUUUUAAUGCAUAGGGUAGGGUACAUGGCGGUAAAAAGUCCGGUCUGUGUAAAAAAAAAAUAUGAAAUGGCCUAUAACUUGUUUGUUGCUGGCCCUCUGGAAACAGCUUUUCAGGAUUUUGUGGGGCAAUCUUUUCUUCUUGGUCUCAGUUACAUGGCUUUCCAUCAUAUCCAACAUCUAAUAUCAUUAUUUAGAAACAGUCAGAAACAACAAAAAUUAUAAAAAUUGUUUAAAUGAAUAUAAAUAAAAAUAAACUUUUCCGA